UACGUAGGGGGCAAGCGUUGUCCGGAUUUAUUGGGCGUAAAGAGCGUGUAGGCGGCCAGGUAGGUCCGCUGUGAAAACUCGAGGCUUAACCUCGAGAUGUCGGUGGAAACCAUCUGGCUAGAGUCCGGAAGAGGAGAGUGGAAUUCCUGGUGUAGCGGUGAAAUGCGCAGAUAUCAGGAAGAACACCCGUGGCGAAGGCGGCUCUCUGGGACGGUACUGACGCUGAGACGCGAAAGCGUGGGGAGCGAACAGG
Molecule: ribosomal RNA, 253 nt
Filed under: uncultured bacterium
Lineage: Bacteria
Description: partial 16S ribosomal RNA
Rfam family: Bacterial small subunit ribosomal RNA
Source: RNAcentral